CAGUUUUCUGCAUUCUCUCUGAAAAUUGUUCGCGGUGAUUAAUUGGGGUUUUUCCCAGUAUUUGAAGCUAUAUAAGUGUAUUGAGUAAUUUGCUAAAUUAUGAUGAACAUGAAGGGAAUUUGGACCAAACAGACAUUGAUUAAUCUCCUGUUAGGGCAAUUUCUCUCCCUUUUGAUUACUUCUACUGGGUUUUUAUCAUCCGAACUCGCUAGAAAAGGAAUCAAUGCACCGACGUCCCAGUCUUUUCUUAAUUACGUGCUCUUGGCAUUAUUUUAUGGAGUUUUUAUGAUUUACAGGCAAGAAGGGAUCAAGGCAAAAUGGUAUUUUUACAUCCUCCUUGGAAUAGUUGAUGUGGAGGCCAACUUUCUAGUUGUGAAGGCUUACCAGUACACAUCCUUAACAAGCGUGAUGUUGCUGGAUUGCUGGGCAAUUCCGUGUGUUCUGCUUUUUACGUGGUUUUUCUUGAAGACAAAAUACAGACCCAGAAAAUUA
Molecule: unclassified non-coding RNA, 492 nt
Filed under: Hevea brasiliensis (rubber tree)
Lineage: Eukaryota; Viridiplantae; Streptophyta; Magnoliopsida; Malpighiales; Euphorbiaceae
Source: RNAcentral